CAACAGUUAGACGGUGUUUUCUUUUGCGAUCAACAGUUCAUUAACAUUUUGUUUAUCCAAUCACAGCUUUAAUUAAACAUAUGGUACUGAUUGUCACAUACAUAUAGUUUAUGUGUUCUAAGCAUAAUCACCAAGACAUCAUACAUCAGGUGCACCAAACAUUUUUUAUUCCAUUAACUAAUGGUCACAUACAUACACUUCAGUUGUUCCAAACAUAACCACCAAGACACCAUACAUCAGGUUCAACAAAGGACAGCGAAAAGACUGCAACUAUGAGACAUCCAUUUUAUGCAGAUCGCUGGCUUCAUGGUUCAUUGUGAGUCGAGUCCUUAUGUUUGCUUCCUACAAAAGUUAAACAAGUCUCAAUUAUUAGAAUGCUCAAUUAAUUUAUGAAAUGGAAUGCAGGCAGAAUUCACAUGUACUAUGUGCACACACAGCAGCAGAAAAUGAAGAAUACACUUGCCUAAUCUACAAAACUAGCAUUUCUGGACGUCAAGACCUCCAAUCAACUUCCAGCAAUAGCCAUGGAUGUGGCAAAGAAGCCCUCGGUCCACCUUUUGUCUAUCUAUUUGAAAGAAAACGCAUCAUUUACUUUGUAUGAUUGCUGAUCAUAAAGUCUCCGGGGAUAUACUUAAGUUACUGUACAUAGGUAUGAGAAGCCAAUAUUCCAACACUUGUUUGCAAAGAAAAUAAACAUACAACUUUAUAGAUAGUGAAUACAGUGAGUAAACAAGAUUCGGGUCUAGCCUUGUUCUUGAGCCGACUCCAGAGUGAUUUCCCCUUUUCAGGCAUGGGUCUCACCUUGACUUGUGGUAGUUUCUCCUACUCUACAGAGUUCAUUAGGAUUCACACAUUUUGAAUUAGCAAGGUGAAAGUACUAACAAGAUCAAAAAAUGUGGAGCCAAAUCCUCUAAACUCUUGCCGAUUUUUACAUGAAUUGAGUUUUGACUUUGGAGGCUUUGUAGUCAGAUUUAAAGUUUCAGGUAACAGAUGACCAAAGGCCCAAACUUCUCGAUCAAACUCCAUAGUGGAGUAAGAGAUCGAACGCUUUUGCAUAGAAGUGGCCAAGGAUCCAGAUAAUGUAUGUCAAGUUAAGUAAUCCCGUGCAAACAUUCAGAUUAGCUUCUCCUAUAACACCAUUCAUUUAAACUGAAAACUGAUUCAUUUGGGCUUCAGGAUUUUGGACCUGUUAGUUUAAUCCUCUAAUUCAAGGGUACUUUUCAAAGUUUUCAGUGCCCAAACUAACAGGUCCAGAAUUAGUGGAUUAAAGGGUACUUUUCAAAGUUCCACGGAAAGCAGUAAAAGUUGGAGCCAGCUAUAUAUUUAUGGCCAGAAACAUAUAUGCAUACAUAAAACACAUAGCAUGAGGAAAGUAUCUAUCAAGUACAUGGAAACCCUGGUCACUACCAAACAUGAAGAAACAUGAAGAAACGGGUAUAGAAGCGAUGAACAAAACAUUAACUUUGCCCUUUGGCGUAUCCAAUUAAUAGGAACAACAGUAUUAGAAACUGUAUGAGAUGUACCAUACAGCUAGUCAAAUAAUAGGUUUCUUACAUUGCUUGGGGUUGGAUGUGCACAACGUCAUUCUGUACAGAUUAAUUUUUUAGCACCACAUACUGAUCGGCUAAAAAUACUGGCACAUGGAGGUCCCAUCCCAUAACAUAGCCAAGCAUCAACAAAAAUCAGGGAAGGAAAAUAUGAUGAAACCAAAGAUAAUACCAUAGCUCCAGAUGAGGAAAAUGAGCACUCACUAAUAGAAAAUAAGAGACGUAGACCACCACCUAGGAAUCUUAUAUAUGAACUGGUUUCCAGCUUCCAAGACCAAUUAGCCAGAGUCAAGGUUUGCUUAGCCUGCAGAUAAUAAAAAAUAAACAAAAGAACCAUAAUUAGAGAGAAGACAAAAAAUAGGCAAAGAAAUAGUAGUGGGGAUAAGUGGUGGAUUUGAAGGCAUUUGUAUCUUCUCCUCGCCGGUCGCCACAAGAAAAUAGUGCUGGAUUAGAUGUGGUGUAUAUGCAUAUUCCCUGGUACACGUUGGCUCAUUUACUUCCAUGGCAAAGCAGGACAGUGUAGACCAUCAGGAGUUCAUCUUCGCCUACAACCUAGGAUAAUCCGCAGGACGGGAGUUAAAACGAGAAUAACGUAGAAGAUAUAAGAACGCAUGUGAUUACACAUUCCAAUACUAAAAGGCAGCAAGCCAUCAAUGUUGUAAACAAAUAGAUGAAACUACUUCCAAGAAACUAUAACAUCACAAUAAUAUGUUCCCCUUCUUUUAACUCCCACCAAACAUAUUGUACACAAUGUUUCCUCCAACAGCAAUAAUCCUUAUCAUGCAUGAUUUCACUUGACAUAACAAUCAAUUAAAGCCUAAGCUUUAUGCAGAAUGCAGAUAACUCACGGAAGUAAUAAACUGAAAAUCUGAAAGAAUCUAAAUAAAAAUAAAAAGGUAGUGUACAACUCAGGUGGAGAAACAAUUAACGGUGUACCGACUGCCAGCAGCCAAAAAAUAAUCGAGCGGCCCAUACUGCUGCGUCGCGACAAUGCCUCCAGAAUGGCUGGUGGCCUAGCGUGAUUUAUAAGUUCCAUGCUCCAGGAUCUAUAGCUUCCUCCAUUGCUUGAUGAUGGCUUGAAAUUUUUUAUAACUUCAUAUCUGAAACCAUCUCCUUUCUUGUCUAAGUGCCCCUGACAUAGCGGAGGUAAGAAUAUAUUUGGUUCUUUUGUUUUUUGUACAGAUGAAAAAAUAUAGGAAUACCAGUACAGCGACAACAGAUGUACAUAUAUAAUAUAAUAUCAGUAUAAUCUCAUGUUUUUAUUUGCCUUAGAAUAUAUUAUUGCCACACAAGCAUGAUCCUGCAGGGAUAACUAUACCAUGUGUAUAUAUUUGACCGUGCAGGUAUGACUUAAUAGCCAAACAAAGCAUAAUAACCCACCUUUCAGGAUUCCAAGCGUCAUUCAAAGCUUUAAAAGAGAGAUUGUACUAGACAAAACUGCUAGUUCAGAUGUCACAUGUAGGUAAAAACAACUUGCAAUACUGUCAAAGUAAUCUACUUCAGCAAUCAACAUGCAUGAUCGGUGUUUAAGAAAAAAUCCAAAGUGUGAAAAGAUGUUGUAUACAUUCAUGACAUCCACAAAUAAGGAGGGCCUGUACAUGGGGUGGAGAAACUCACAAAGGGAUUGCCUAGAAAUUCAGCUCACAAAUUUUAUAAAAAUAUAUAUGUUUGCUAGCCACCAUUUCCUGCUCUUUUUAUCAUUUUAGGUAUUCACGUCAGUUUUGAAUUGAAGUGCCAGCCUCCAAGCUACUAAAUCACAACAUCGAUCGUAUACUGAAAGAAAAAAAACUGGACACACCACAUCUUAUGAACAAAAUUCAUCUAAGACUGAAAUUACUUCAAGUCAGCAUAUACCAACAGAUUUGACGAAAUUGUUUUCUAAGCAAAGAACAACCACAUACAGCGCGCUAAAUCACAGACGAAGAAACAUAAUGUUGAAGGAUUUUUCAGAGAGAGAGAGAGAGAGAGGUCGUCAGGACCCGAGGCAGAGAAACUCACCAGAUCUGGUCUCUUGAAUAUGAACAGUAAAAGUUUGGCCUUCUGAAGUAGAAAGANNNN
This 3605-nucleotide long non-coding RNA is filed under the name Triticum aestivum (bread wheat). RNAcentral's name for it is "long non-coding RNA (TAES_LNC009067)". Lineage: Eukaryota; Viridiplantae; Streptophyta; Magnoliopsida; Poales; Poaceae. The record is from RNAcentral.